Molecule: ribosomal RNA, 277 nt
Filed under: uncultured Pseudomonas sp.
Lineage: Bacteria; Pseudomonadati; Pseudomonadota; Gammaproteobacteria; Pseudomonadales; Pseudomonadaceae
Description: partial 16S ribosomal RNA
Rfam family: Bacterial small subunit ribosomal RNA
Source: RNAcentral
UUGUCCUUAGUUACCAGCACGUUAUGGUGGGCACUCUAAGGAGGCUGCCGGUGACAACCGGAGGAAGGUGGGGAUGACGUCAAGUCAUCAUGGCCCUUACGGCCUGGGCUACACACGUGCUACAAUGGUCGGUACAAAGGGUUGCCAAGCCGCGAGGUGGAGCUAAUCCCAUAAAACCGAUCGUAGUCCGGAUCGCAGUCUGCAACUCGACUGCGUGAAGUCGGAAUCGCUAGUAAUCGUGAAUCAGAAUGUCACGGUGAAUACGUUCCCGGGCCUU